UUACCUGGAUGGCAGUAUAUGUUGUUCAAAACCUGUGUACAUCAUUCAGAAUUGAUUGUGCCUUGCCAGAUGUGCAAAAUGCCCAUUCCUAUGCUAGGUACUAAU
Molecule: long non-coding RNA, 105 nt
Organism: Alosa sapidissima (American shad)
Lineage: Eukaryota; Metazoa; Chordata; Actinopteri; Clupeiformes; Clupeidae
Exons: 3
Source: RefSeq, a predicted model, not a curated record